Long non-coding RNA from Bos taurus (domestic cattle), 480 nucleotides. The record is from Ensembl. Lineage: Eukaryota; Metazoa; Chordata; Mammalia; Artiodactyla; Bovidae.
CAGAUACCUCGGCGGGGCUUGCGGGCCGCCUUGGGGAGGGGGGGGGGGGGUGGAUCCAGAGGGUUCCUGGAGGCUGAGAUCCCCUGCCCCGCACCCUUCUGAACCUCUUCAGUCUCCAAAGGUGGAGGAGAUCCUCUGCUGGCGGAGGGAGAAAAUGUCAGAGCCGCGAAACUAGUUAACUAUUCCCGCGCAGAAAAGACAGUGAAAAUGAGGGAAGAAGGUUCAGGAGACUGGAGUCAUCUGGGAAGGGAAAAGAGAAUGGGGAGAAGCCUCCACCCCAUCAAGGACUAGUGAUUAUCCCCGCAAAGCUCAGAUCGGCGUCCCCCACACCAACAAUAGCGGCUGAGCGCGAGGCCUGGAGGCCUGGAUACCUCGCCGCCGGCGCUAUGUUCUAAUUGAAAACAGCAACAAUAUUAAAAUCACACCCUGUUUAUCUUUAUGACUCAAAAUAACCCGCAAAUAAAUUUAAUUAAAUAUUCA